This 94-nucleotide ribosomal RNA is filed under the name Photobacterium damselae subsp. piscicida. The record is from RNAcentral. Lineage: Bacteria; Pseudomonadati; Pseudomonadota; Gammaproteobacteria; Vibrionales; Vibrionaceae.
UCCCACCUGAAUCCAUGCCGAACUCAGAAGUGAAACGCAGCAGCGCCGAUGGUAGUGUGGGGUCUCCCCAUGUGAGAAUAGGACAUCGCCAAGC